UGGGGAAUAUUGGGCAAUGGAGGAAACUCUGACCCAGCGACGCCGCGUGCGGGAUGAAGGCCUUCGGGUUGUAAACCGCUUUCAGUAGGGAAGAAGCGAAAGUGACGGUACCUACAAAAGAAGCACCGGCUAACUAUGUGCCAGCAGCCGCGGUAAUACAUAGGGUGCAAGCGUUGUCCGGAAUUAUUGGGCGUAAAGAGCUCGUAGGUCGUUUGUUACGUCGGAUGUGAAAACCUGAGGCUCAACCUCAGGCCUGCAUUCGAUACGGGCAAACUAGAGUUUGGUAGGGGAGACUGGAAUUCCUGGUGUAGCGGUGGAAUGCGCAGAUAUCAGGAGGAACACCAAUGGCGAAGGCAGGUCUCUGGGCCAAUACUGACACUGAGGAGCGAAAGUCUGGGGAGCGAACAGG
This 409-nucleotide ribosomal RNA is filed under the name uncultured bacterium. RNAcentral's name for it is "bacterial SSU rRNA". It matches the Rfam family "Bacterial small subunit ribosomal RNA", at positions 355 to 776 of the family's 1533-position model. RNAcentral also lists the same sequence under 1 other name. The record is from RNAcentral.